Molecule: long non-coding RNA, 1091 nt
Filed under: Gallus gallus (chicken)
Lineage: Eukaryota; Metazoa; Chordata; Aves; Galliformes; Phasianidae
Description: lncRNA (ENSGALG00010020020.1)
Source: RNAcentral
UUUUUUCAUGAGGAAAGAAAGAAGAUGAGCUGAGCAGAGUGGUGGGACCAAGUACUGCAAGGUCAACCUGAGCUUUUUAUCCAUCUCCUUACCCUUGGCAGCUGAGAAGACCACCAGGCUGAACAGCCCCCUAAUUACUGUGAUGGCAUUGCCUUGAUUUUGUACUGCAACAUGGCUGUGAUUUGGAGCUUGUCAGCUGAAACUGCUCCACAGAACUGUUGCUCUUUAUCUGGGCUGAGCAAUCAACUUGACAGAGUAUGUGUUUUGCCUGUUUCCCUUGAGCUGGAACUUCAGUACCUGAGAGAACUUGGCCGCAUGUGUGAUUUUUCUGGAAUUCACAGAGUUGUGCAGAGUUGUGCUCCUUUCUGCCAUUCUGAAUUGGCAGAAAGAAGAACUUCUCCCCUGCUUUCCACGACAGGACAAGUUCUCUAAUGCAGAUGACUUGGAAGAAGAGUGAAAUGAUGCUGUCCAGCCUGGAUUCUAAACUUGUCAUUAACUGAUAUAAUGCAGGCUGCUUGAUGGGGAGCAGAGCUGUCCCUGCUUCCUACUUUGAAAGAGUAUGUCCUGUAUUUUGAUCAAAUUAGGUUAUUUCUAUUGCCUUCCACCUUAUGUUACAACACAUUUUAUCCUGAUUCGCCCCCCUUCUGUACAUCUCUCUCAGGUUUUUGCAGCCUUCCAAGCAUUUUGGGAAUGCUUCACAAGAAGCAGUUGUGUAGUGUCUCUCUACUAAAGGUACACUGUUUUCAUCUCCCAUACUGUUUUCUUUUUUUGCCCAAUUUGUGUCAGGAUGUAGUGUGGCAGAAUGUGAAAAGAGUAUGCCUCUGCACUGAGAAUGGUAAGAGUACUGCACCCCAAUUUCCCAACUCCUUUUUCGUAACUGCAAAGGAAAACUUCCUCUUAGAAUUCAUGGCAAAACUACAGUUGAAUUUCACCAAGUAUUUGUAGCAGGAUAACUAUGUCACUGGAGCACCCAAACCUGGCUGUAUUAUGGAGUAGAAACUUUAAAGCACCCUGUAAAGUGGUGAACAGAGACGGCAGCAAAGGAUAUAGGACAGAUUUCCAUUCUAAACGUAUUAAAGUUUUUAUGUUGU